Molecule: transfer RNA, 86 nt
Filed under: Microcaldota archaeon
Lineage: Archaea; Nanobdellati; Microcaldota
Also listed under: 1 other name
Description: tRNA-Ser
Rfam family: tRNA
About the family: Transfer RNA (tRNA) molecules are approximately 80 nucleotides in length. Their secondary structure includes four short double-helical elements and three loops (D, anti-codon, and T loops).
Source: RNAcentral
GCCAGGGUGGCGGAACCCGGUAACGCGUACGCCUGGAAAGCGUAUGGUUCUUCGGAGCCUUUUGGGUUCAAAUCCCAACCCUGGCG